CCUACGGGAGGCAGCAGUGAGGAAUAUUGGUCAAUGGGCGCGAGCCUGAACCAGCCAAGUCGCGUGAGGGAAGACGGUCCUAUGGAUUGUAAACCUCUUUUGUCGGGGAGCAAAUGACGCCACGCGUAGCGUUCCGAGAGUACCCGAAGAAAAAGCAUCGGCUAACUCCGUGCCAGCAGCGGCGUUAAUACAGGGGAGGCGAGCGUUAUCCGGAUUUGUUGGGUUUAAAGGGUGCGCGGGGGGAAGAUCAGGUCAGUGGUAAAAUCGAGAGGCUAAACCUCUGCGAGCCGUUGAAACUGGUUUGCUAGAGUGAGCGAGAGGGAUGCGGAAUGCGAGGUGUAGCGGUGAAAUGCAUAGAGA
This 360-nucleotide ribosomal RNA is filed under the name uncultured bacterium. RNAcentral describes it as "partial 16S ribosomal RNA". It matches the Rfam family "Bacterial small subunit ribosomal RNA", at positions 338 to 696 of the family's 1533-position model. The record is from RNAcentral.